RNAcentral lists this ribosomal RNA (253 nucleotides) under uncultured bacterium. RNAcentral's name for it is "partial 16S ribosomal RNA". It matches the Rfam family "Bacterial small subunit ribosomal RNA", at positions 57 to 305 of the family's 1533-position model. The record is from RNAcentral.
GCAAGUCGAACGGUAGGAAAUGCUUGCAUUUCCGAGAGUGGCGAACGGGUGAGUAACACGUAAGUGAUCUGCCCUGGGAUUGGGGAUAGCUCAUGGAAACAUGGGGUAAUACCGAAUAAUCUCGUUGAGUUUGAAGACUUAAUGAGGAAAAGAGCUACGGCUCUGUCCUGGGAUGAGCUUGCGGUCCAUUAGCUAGUUGGUGGGGUAAGAGCCUACCAAGGCAACGAUGGAUAGCCGGCCUGAGAGGGUGACC